Molecule: ribosomal RNA, 460 nt
Filed under: uncultured bacterium
Lineage: Bacteria
Description: partial 16S ribosomal RNA
Rfam family: Bacterial small subunit ribosomal RNA
Source: RNAcentral
CCUACGGGAGGCAGCAGUGAGGAAUAUUGGUCAAUGGGCGUAAGCCUGAACCAGCCAAGUCGCGUGAGGGAAGAAUGCCCUAUGGGUUGUAAACCUCUUUUGUCAGGGAGCAAAGCCGGCUACGUGUAGCCGGACGGAGAGAACCUGAAGAAAAAGCAGCGGCCACCCCAGUGCCAGCAGCGGCGGGAAUAGGGAGGAUGCGAGAGUUAUCCGGAUUUAUUGGGUUGAAAGGGUGCGUAGGCGGAAUGCCAAGUCAGCGGUAAAAUCGCGGGGCUCAACCUCGCUCCGCCGUUGAAACUGGCGUUCUUGAGUGGGCGAGAAGUAUGCGGAAUGCGUGGUGUAGCGGUGAAAUGCAUAGAUAUCACGCAGAACUCCGAUUGCGAAGGCAGCAUACCGGCGCCCAACUGACGCUGACGCACGAACGCGUGGGUAUCGAACAGGAUUAGAUACCCUUGUAGUC